GCGUAUGUAACCUACCCUGUACAGGGGGAUAGCCCGGAGAAAUUCGGAUUAAUACCCCAUAAUGAUAUCUGGAGGCAUCUUUAGAUAUUUAAAGCUUCGGCGGUACGGGAUGGGCAUGCGUGACAUUAGCUAGUUGGUAAGGUAACGGCUUACCAAGGCUUCGAUGUCUAGGGGUCCUGAGAGGGUGAUCCCCCACACUGGUACUGAGACACGGACCAGACUCCUACGGGAGGCAGCAGUGAGGAAUAUUGGUCAAUGGGCGUAAGCCUGAACCAGCCAUCCCGCGUGAAGGAAGAAGGCGCUAUGCGUCGUAAACUUCUUUUCCGGAGGAAUAAAAUUUCGUACGUGUACGGAACUGAAGGUACUCUGGGAAUAAGCAUCGGCUAACUCCGUGCCAGCAGCCGCGGUAAUACGGAGGAUGCGAGCGUUAUCCGGAUUUAUUGGGUUUAAAGGGUGCGUAGGCGGAUUAAUAAGUCAGUGGUGAAAACCUUCAGCUUAACUGGAGAACUGCCAUUGAUACUGUUAGUCUUGAGUACGGUCAAGGUAGGCGGAAUGUGUAAUGUAGCGGUGAAAUGCUUAGAUAUUACACAGAACACCGAUUGCGAAGGCAGCUUACUGGGCCAUUACUGACGCUGAUGCACGAAAAGCGUGGGGAGCGAACAGGAUUAGAUACCCUGGUAGUCCACGCCGUAAACGAUGAUCACUCGCUGUUAGCGAUACACAGUUAGCGGCUAAGCAAAAGCAUUAAGUGAUCCACCUGGGGAGUACGGCCGCAAGGCUGAAACUCAAAGGAAUUGACGGGGGCCCGCACAAGCGGAGGAACAUGUGGUUUAAUUCGAUGAUACGCGAGGAACCUUACCUGGGCUUAAAUGUAGAGUGCAUGGGGUAGAAAUAUCCCUUUCCUUCGGGACUCUUUGCAAGGUGCUGCAUGGUUGUCGUCAGCUCGUGCCGUGAGGUGUCGGGUUAAGUCCCAUAACGAGCGCAACCCUUAUCGUUAGUUGCCAGCGGGUAAUGCCGGGAACUCUAACGAAACUGCCGGUGUAAACCGUGAGGAAGGUGGGGAUGACGUCAAAUCAGCACGGCCCUUAUGUCCAGGGCUACACACGU
Molecule: ribosomal RNA, 1107 nt
Filed under: uncultured bacterium
Lineage: Bacteria
Description: bacterial SSU rRNA
Rfam family: Bacterial small subunit ribosomal RNA
Source: RNAcentral